UACGUAGGUGGCAAGCGUUGUCCGGAUUUAUUGGGUUUAAAGGGUGCGUGGGCGGCUUUGUAAGUCAGUGGUGAAAUACGGUAGCUUAACUAUCGAGGUGCCAUUGAUACUGCAGAGCUUGAGUACAGAUGAGGUAGGCGGAAUUGACGGUGUAGCGGUGAAAUGCUUAGAUAUCGUCAAGAACACCUAUAGCGAAGGCAGCUUACUAGGCUGUAACUGACGCUGAGGCACGAAAGUGUGGGGAUCAAACAGG
Molecule: ribosomal RNA, 253 nt
Filed under: uncultured bacterium
Lineage: Bacteria
Description: partial 16S ribosomal RNA
Rfam family: Bacterial small subunit ribosomal RNA
Source: RNAcentral